This is a non-coding RNA of Callorhinus ursinus (northern fur seal), 2948 nucleotides long. The record is from RefSeq and is a predicted model, not a curated record. Lineage: Eukaryota; Metazoa; Chordata; Mammalia; Carnivora; Otariidae.
CCUGGUGACAUAGAAUGUUCUGCCGUGGGGCCUCUGCCCUGCCCCCACCCCAUGAGCACCAUGACCUUCCCCAGCCCCUCCCCACUUUAAAUGUACUCUGAGUUUGCUCCCAGCCCCAGUCAAUCAAACCUCUGUCAUCUGCACUUCCUGCCUCUGCCCAGUGGCUGGGGGAGGGGACCAGAGGGAAAGAAACAUUUUGUAUCCUGCUGUAACAUUGUGGGAGCUGGGGGGCCACCAUGAUUCAGGUAGAGGGGGUGCUUUUACAAAAAGCCCUGCCUCAGAAAAUAUCUCCACCCAGCUCAGGAAACACAGCUCCUGGAUGGGGAGUGGCUGGGAGGUGUCUCUGGAGCUGGUCCCUGGGUCCCAGACAGCUUUCCAGGAACGUGAAGGGCCAAUGCAUCAAAAUGGGAUCAUCAUGACCAUUUUUGCAGUGAUUAAAAAAAAAGGGGGGGGAUCAUCAUCCAGCAUUUUUCAUAAAAACUUGCCCUUGACAAAAGUACUUACACAUGCGUUUAUUUAUUAAGAACUCACAACAACACUGUGUAAAACCUACCACCCCACUUUUCAGAUGAAGGAAAUAAGGCCAGAGAGGUUGCAGGUCCUGUAAGUAGUAAGAGACAGGGUCUAGCCUGGAACAACCCCCAACUCCAGCCCAAACCCCCAUCACCAAUCCCCGUUCAUUUUCCACCUCCACUGUAUUGUCCCCAAGCCAGGUUGAUUCUCCUCCGCAAACUGGAGAUGAUCUCCCGUGGCAUGGACAUUACUAUGUCCAGCUAGCCCUGGAGGGGGGAUGAGAGAAGCCCAGGAAGGAGGAGAGUGCACCCCCAGCUUGUGUCAAGGGAAGUAGGAAGGAGGAGAAAUUCUUGGCAGCCCCUGCCCACUGUGCUAUUACGGGGAGCAGCACUUUGGGCCAGGGACCCGGCUCACCGUACUAGGUAAGAAAGCCGCUCCCGGUGGGAAGGAGGGUGGGUUGCCCAGCCUGGACCAUCCCCAGGACCUUGGCCCUCAAGGAGUGGGUGCUGGCCCCUCCCUGGGCCCCUAUCGGGAGGGCGGGUUUGUGCCUGGGUCCCCAGAGCUGUGCAAACACGGGACAGCUGUACUUCGGGGCCGGUUCCAAGCUGACGGUGCUGGAGAGCCCCCUGAGGUGUGUCUACAGCACCCAUUCCUGCCCGUGAGCUGGACUGGAACCCUCAGCCGCUGGGAUGCAUUCGCCCUGCCCCCCGCCCCCCACGUCUCCCUCUGCCCCCCAGCCUGAAAUCUCGGACCUCACACGAAGAAUUCCGGCGUCAACAGCCCAGGUGGUGGAGGAGGUUCAGCUGUUGCAAACGUAUAUUAAAAUGCAGAUAUUUUGUUUGUGAGGUGAGGGAAGUUUCCAGGAGAAUCCUAAGCUCCUAGAUGUGGAAAGGAACCUCAAACAUCACCUGGUGAGGAGAAUGUUGAGGCCAGAGAGGGGAAGAAACUCAUGAUACUGGUACAUUAACCUGGAUUAUUUGAUAACAACAAGCCCCGUUUCUCCUUAGACUGUCAUUAAGCCGGAGCCAAUGGGGCUCAUCUAAACUCUGUCCAGGGCAAAUGCCAGAUUCCUCUGAUCAGCAGGGGUGGGCCCAAGACCAGACUUUAGAGCCAGAUAAACCUGGGCCCCAGUCACUGGCUCGCUGAUGAUCAGAUGACCUUGGGCAAAUGAAUCUGUGUGAAGUUCGGUCCCCUCUGUGGUACAAGGUCAUCAGCAAUACCUACCACUUACCGUUGCUGCGAGGGUGACCAACAGGAGAGCCUACGCGUAGAGUAUGCAGGGAAGGUGGAUUGUUAUAAUUUGGCCCUUCUCCUCUCCACCCUUCCUCUUGGUGGUCAGUGGGGCGUGAGGGGAAAGGGUGAGCCCAGUGCCCGAGGAGGGACAGGAUUUGGCAUGUGGAUCAUGGAGGGGAGGGCUGGGUAGGCGUGAGCGGUGGAUCAGGAACAGGAAAGAUAAACUUCACAGUGCUGCCUGAGGCCCAUCCAACCCACAAACAGAGCAUAUAUACAAACAGAAGCUCACUAGUACAUACACUUACACCCACAUAGGCAAGCUCACCCACACCCCACAGGGACUCACAAACAUGGAAGGAUAAACUGACCCUGCCCUCACACGGAGCUGUGUAGACGGGGGCUUCAGAGUGUCACGGCGUCCUGUUUGUCCUGCCUGUUGCGUCCAUAAACAUCGUGGGAAGCAUCACACAUGAUUCAAAGGACAUCACUAAUUUUGCAAGAAGGACUGAGUGGGGGCCAGAGGAGUACAUUCAGUAGUGCCCCAGGAGAGCUGGUCCAAUUUCAGAGCCAGGGUCUUUGAGACAAGAGUGACGACACCAGGCUGAGCAGAGAGAUUGAUGGAGCUGGGCCGUACAGAUGUGAGGGUGUUACCACCUCUGGUAAAGACCUAGAGACAUCGUCUGGGUUAGCAAGUAGGAGUUGCAGGGAGGGGAAGCUGGCAGGAUGGGAAGCCCGACCAGCUCAAAAUGAAAAUGCCAGUCUCUUGUUAAAAAUUAUUUAGAAUUUCAAGAUGGUGACAACGGGCCUUAAGCCAAGGGUGGGGCCUUUGUAAGCACAAGGUCCUGUACACGGGUCCUACACUUAUGAAGCUGGCCCCGGAAGUUAGGGCCCAUCCAGAGAAAUGGGAAGUGUCAGAAGGACAUUUUCUCCAUCUUCCAUUCUAAACUAGAAUCUCAUAAGGAGAUUUUUCAUUUUAACAGAAUUGCCAAAAAAUGAACAACAAAAAAAUCCGUGGAAAGCAAAGAAGGAUAAAAUGAAUGCACAGCAGACUCAGAAGAAGGGAGCCAGCAAGAGAGGGUGGUCUGCGCCCUCACCCCCGACUCUGCAGAGGAGAGGCUUUGCACAAAAACUGUAUCAAAGCAGCUGCUAGCAAGAAGUUGCUCUGAUGAUCUCAGAUGCUUAUUCAGGAAGCUGACUGGUAG